Molecule: ribosomal RNA, 2241 nt
Filed under: Moraxella ovis
Lineage: Bacteria; Pseudomonadati; Pseudomonadota; Gammaproteobacteria; Moraxellales; Moraxellaceae
Description: bacterial LSU rRNA
Rfam family: Bacterial large subunit ribosomal RNA
Source: RNAcentral
UCAAGUAAUGAAGUGCACAUGGUGGAUGCCUUGGCAGUCAGAGGCGAUGAAAGACGUGAUAGCCUGCGAUAAGCGUCGGUGAGGUGGCAAUAUCCUGUGACCCGGCGAUUUCUGAAUGGGGAAACCCAGCCAACAUAAGUUGGCUAUCCUAACCUUUGGUUAGGAGGCAAACCGGGAGAAGUGAAACAUCUCAGUACCCCGAGGAAAAGACAUCAAUAGAGAUUCCCCAAGUAGCGGCGAGCGAACGGGGAGUAGCCGAUCAAACUUGUAGUAGCAAAAUGGCGUGGGAAAGCCAACCAUAGUAGGUGAUAGUCCUGUAUGCGAAACUGCAAAUGCGACACAUUAAGUAGGGCGAGACACGUGAAAUCUUGUCUGAAGAUGGGGGGACCAUCCUCCAAGGCUAAAUACUCCUGACUGACCGAUAGUGAACCAGUACCGUGAGGGAAAGGCGAAAAGAACCCCUGUUAGGGGAGUGAAAUAGAACCUGAAACCGUGUGCAUACAAGCAGUCGGAGCCCACUUGUUGGGUGACGGCGUACCUUUUGUAUAAUGGGUCAGCGACUUAUAUUCUGUAGCAAGGUUAACCGUUUAGGGGAGCCGUAGGGAAACCGAGUCUUAAUAGGGCGAAUGAGUUGCAGGGUAUAGACCCGAAACCGAGUGAUCUAUCCAUGAGCAGGUUGAAAGUGCCGUAACAGGCACCGGAGGACCGAACCCACUGUCGUUGAAAAGCCAGGGGAUGACUUGUGGAUAGGGGUGAAAGGCUAAUCAAACUCGGUGAUAGCUGGUUCUCCCCGAAAGCUAUUUAGGUAGCGCCUCGGACGAAUACCAUUGGGGGUAGAGCACUGUUUCGGCUAGGGGGUCAUCCCGACUUACCAAACCGAUGCAAACUCCGAAUACCGAUGAGUACUAUCCGGGAGACAGACGGCGGGUGCUAACGUCCGUCGUCAAGAGGGAAACAACCCAGACCGCCAGCUAAGGCCCCAAAUUCCUAGUUAAGUGGGAAACGAUGUGGGAAGGCACAGACAGCUAGGAUGUUGGCUUAGAAGCAGCCAUCAUUUAAAGAAAGCGUAAUAGCUCACUAGUCGAGUCGGCCUGCGCGGAAGAUGUAACGGGGCUCAAACUAGGAGCCGAAGCUGCGGAUUUAAUUGUUUCAAUUAAGUGGUAGGGGAGCGUUGUGUAAGCCUGUGAAGGUGUAUCGUAAGGUAUGCUGGAGGUAUCACAAGAGCGAAUGCUGACGUGAGUAACGACAAAACGGGUGAAAAGCCCGUUCGCCGAAAGACCAAGGGUUCCAGUCCAACGUUAAUCGGGGCUGGGUGAGUCGACCCCUAAGGCGAGGCCGAAAGGCGUAGUCGAUGGGAAAUUGGUUAAUAUUCCAAUACUUGUUUAUGAUGCGAUGGAGGGACGGAGAAGGUUAUGUCAGCCUGGCGUUGGUUGUCCAGGUGAAAGGAUGUAGGUAGGCUUGGUAGGCAAAUCCGCCAAGCUAUUACUGAGAUCUGAUAGCAAGCCAGCUUGCUGGCGAAGUGGCAAAUACCCUGCUUCCAGGAAAAGCUUCUAAGCGAUAGUCAUAAACAAAUCGUACCCGAAACCGACACAGGUGGUCAGGUAGAGAAUACUAAGGCGCUUGAGAGAACUCUGCUGAAGGAACUAGGCAAAAUGGUACCGUAACUUCGGGAGAAGGUACGCUGCCGACGGUGAUUAAACUUGCUUUAUGAGCUGUUGGCAGUCGCAGAUACCAGGCUGCUGCAACUGUUUAUUAAAAACACAGCACUCUGCAAACACGAAAGUGGACGUAUAGGGUGUGAUGCCUGCCCGGUGCUGGAAGGUUAAUUGAUGGGGUUAGCGUAUGCGAAGCUCUUGAUCGAAGCCCCAGUAAACGGCGGCCGUAACUAUAACGGUCCUAAGGUAGCGAAAUUCCUUGUCGGGUAAGUUCCGACCUGCACGAAUGGCAUAAUGAUGGCAGCGCUGUCUCCAGCAGAGACUCAGUGAAAUCGAAAUCGCAGUGAAGAUGCUGUGUACCCGCGGCUAGACGGAAAGACCCCGUGAACCUUUACUACAGCUUUACAUUGAACUUUGACCUAAUUGUGUAGGAUAGGUGGGAGGCUUUGAAGUGUGAACGCCAGUUUGCAUGGAGCCAUCCUUGAAAAUACCACCCUGGUUAUGUUGGGGUUCUAACUUAGAUACACAAUAUCAAGGACAAUGUAUGGUGGGUAGUUUGACUGGGCGGUCUCCUCCUAAAGAGUAA